RNAcentral lists this ribosomal RNA (431 nucleotides) under uncultured bacterium. RNAcentral's name for it is "bacterial SSU rRNA". It matches the Rfam family "Bacterial small subunit ribosomal RNA", at positions 30 to 464 of the family's 1533-position model. The record is from RNAcentral.
AUUGAACGCUGGCGGCAUGCUUUACACAUGCAAGUCGAACGGUAACAGGUCUUCGGAUGCUGACGAGUGGCGAACGGGUGAGUAAUGCAUCGGAACGUGCCCAGUCGUGGGGGAUAACGCAGCGAAAGCUGUGCUAAUACCGCAUACGAUCUAUGGAUGAAAGCGGGGGGACCGUAAGGCCUCGCGCGAUUGGAGCGGCCGAUGUCAGAUUAGCUAGUUGGUGGGGUAAAGGCCCACCAAGGCGACGAUCUGUAGCUGGUCUGAGAGGACGACCAGCCACACUGGGACUGAGACACGGCCCAGACUCCUACGGGAGGCAGCAGUGGGGAAUUUCGGACAAUGGGCGAAAGCCUGAUCCAGCCAUGCCGCGUGAGUGAAGAAGGCCUCGGUUGUAAGCUCUUUCGGUCUGGGAAGAAUACGCACAGGCGUAA